This 2675-nucleotide small RNA is filed under the name Pongo abelii (Sumatran orangutan). RNAcentral's name for it is "retained intron". The record is from RNAcentral. Lineage: Eukaryota; Metazoa; Chordata; Mammalia; Primates; Hominidae.
GUCUUUAUUUCCUUCCCAAUCGGCUGCCAUCCGAGGAGCUGAGGAAGCCUAGAGCCCUCAGGAGCAGUCCUUUGAGCUGGCGUAGGGGUAAGGGGCACAACAGGGAGGUUGGUGAUGAGGAAGUUCCUUACUUUGAUCUUCGGAAAUCCCUUGUUCCUGGUGGCACCUCCAAAGCCGUGAGUAGCCAGAGCUCACCACCCGGGACUUUGCUGCAUUCCAAGUGUAGCGUUUGGAGACAAACGAGUUGUGGUUUGGCGGUUUGAGACUGGGAAAUCGCCAAACGUUUUCAUAUUUUACACCCACGUUUUCACAGCACACCUGUACGUGUCCUCAGUCUUUGGGAGGGCAGGGACCGGCGAGUUCGGGUGGUUGUUUCGCUAUUUGGCUUCUGCUUCCAAGGCCCAUGUCAAGGAAGAGAAAAAUGUGUUAGUGAGAGAGAAGUUUCUGUCUUGCUUUUGGAGAUGCAUACAGACUAAUGGCUUCAUAAAUCACUCGCACUGGUUUUACGUGUCAAGUUUUGGUGUCUGGCAGUUCUGUUUUAGUUUAAUUUUAGUGAGAGGCUUGUGACAACAAAUGAAAUGGUUACAGGGUGUGGAAUGGGAAGAUUAAAUUAGUUCUAGUGUUGGUUAUGUUUUACGUUAGGUAGUUCCCUUAACGAAGUUGCUCGUAUGCAUGUCUGUAUAACCGAUUUGCUAAAUAACAUCACGAUGUUUCCAGAAGUGGGAAGAAAGCAGGUGCCAUAACCCAAAGAAACUUGUGUAAUAUCAAAAUUAGUAUUAAAGGGUAUGCCUUUACGCAGGUGGUGCUUGAGGGCAAGACAUUGAACCCUGAUAUGUGCCAGGCAUUGUGUUGGGAGGGAUAGCUCACGUCGUUUAAUCAUAAUGACAGCUGUAUACAGUAGACAGAAUUCCCGUUUUAGAGAUAAGGAGGGCUAGCUCCUUGCCCUGUGUAUUCCCAAUAAAUGGCAUAGCUAAGGAUUCGACUUCAGAGCUCACUUUUUGUGCUGUUUGUUUAAAGCAGUGUUUCUCCAACUGGGCUUGUAGCACUUUUCUGGACACCACUCCAAACAAAAUCAGACUCUGAGUAAGGAGCCUGGUCAUCAGAAUGUUAAGGAAGUGCCACGUUUGAUUACCAUCAGGAAAGCUAACAUUAUUGGCCUCUUGUUUAUCAGUCACCUUUAAAUACAAGUAGUUUUAAAAUGUGGAAUAAUACAUCUUAAUUUAAGGGUGUUACAUACAAGGAUAUGUGUGUGAAUGAAAUAGACCACAUGAUACUGUUUUGAGAUUUUAUUUACUUUUACAAUGGAAAGAUUUGAUGUUACUCUAUUCUUAAUUUAGGCACUCAGAAUGGUCCAGCGUUUGACAUACCGACGUAGGCUUUCCUACAAUACAGCCUCUAACAAAACUAGGCUGUAAGUAUUUCUAAAAAUUUUAAGUAUAUAUUUUCAUUUACUCUACAAAAUGCUGACCUAUUGACUGUUUCACUUUCUAGGUCCCGAACCCCUGGUAAUAGAAUUGUUUACCUUUAUACCAAGAAGGUUGGGAAAGCACCAAAAUCUGCAUGUGGUGUGUGCCCAGGCAGACUUCGAGGGGUAAGUGUACCUUUUACUGUGUGCAGCCUAACAAGUCUUGAACUUACUGAGCUUUCAUCGCUUGACGAUGGAAUGAAUCAAGGAGAGGUUACCACUAAGAGGGUUGAGAAUUGCUUAACAUUCAUGAGCCAUAUCUGCCAAGAACAUAGACUUUUAAAACCAAUCUGAGAAAUGCAGUGAAAUGCCUUUCAGAUAAAUCAGUACACCAUUUCCCUUUGUAACCUACUUUAAACUUGCCCUUAACACUUAACAAAAUUUAGGAAAACUUCUGUUAAAGCAUCACAAAAAUCUUAAUAUUUUUCUUAUGCAGGUUCGUGCUGUAAGACCUAAAGUUCUUAUGAGAUUGUCCAAAACAAAGAAACAUGUCAGCAGGGCCUAUGGUGGUUCCAUGUGUGCUAAAUGUGUUCGUGACAGGUAAGUUAAAUGCUUAAAUGGGCUUUCUUUAGCAAAUUAUUGUGUGUGUUAUACUGUCUGCUAAUCAGUACAAUGGUGAAACAACUCAUUUUAAACCAGUUGCAUGCUUCAGAACCCUUUCUUUACUAUGGAUAAUUGAUGCUGCACAAAGCAGGGAAUGAUAAAGUAAUAAUUUGGGGGCAUAUUUAUGCUAGAUGUGGAGAUUAAAAGGAACUUGGUUUUGUUCAGGAGGUGGGUAAGAAAGUCUCUGUUAGUGGUUUGGACAAAGAUAGGUGGAGUGUGGAAGGUGUUAAAAGUGUAGGAACAGAAGAGUUGUGUAUUCUCAUGUUCCUGGAGCAUAGGGUUGCAGGAGAUGAUGGACAACAAAGGUAGAAAAGCCAGAUUAUGGCCAGGUGCGGUGGCUUACGCCUGAAAUCCCAACACUUUGGGAGGCGGAGGCAGGCAGAUCACCUGAGGUUGGGAGAUUGAGACCAGCCUGACCAACAUGGAGAAACACCGUCUCUACUAAAAAUACAAAAAGGUAGCUGGGCGUGGUGGCGCAUGCCUGUGAUCCCAGCUACUCAGAGACUGAGGCAGGAGAAUUGCUGGAAGCUGGGAGGCAGAGGUUGUGGUGAGCUGCGAUUGCACCAUUGCACUCCAGCCUGGGCAACAAGAGCGAAACUCUUGUCUC